GAUCAUUACCGAGUUAUUCAACUCAUCAACCCUGUGAACUUACCUAAACGUUGCUUCGGCGGGAAUAGACGGCCCUGUAAAACGGGCCGCCCCCGCCAGAGGACCCUUAACUCUGUUUCUUAUAAUGUUUCUUCUGAGUAAAACAAGCAAAUAAAUUAAAACUUUCAACAACGGAUCUCUUGGCUCUGGCAUCGAUGAAGAACGCAGCGAAAUGCGAUAAGUAAUGUGAAUUGCAGAAUUCAGUGAAUCAUCGAAUCUUUGAACGCACAUUGCGCCCGCCAGUAUUCUGGCGGGCAUGCCUGUUCGAGCGUCAUUACAACCCUCAGGCCCCCGGGCCUGGCGUUGGGGAUCGGCGGAGCGCCCCUCGUGGGCGCACGCCGUCCCCCAAAUACAGUGGCGGUCCCGCCGCAGCUUCCAUCGCGUAGUAGCUAACACCUCGCGACUGGAGAGCGGCGCGGCCACGCCGUAAAACACCCCAACUCUUCUGAAGUUGACCUCGAAUCAGGUAGGAAUACCCGCUGAACCUAAGCAUAUCAAUA
RNAcentral lists this unclassified non-coding RNA (539 nucleotides) under Fusarium petroliphilum. RNAcentral describes it as "sequence contains 18S rRNA gene, ITS1, 5.8S rRNA gene, ITS2, 28S rRNA gene". The stretch from base 160 to 313 matches the Rfam family "5.8S ribosomal RNA". Lineage: Eukaryota; Fungi; Ascomycota; Sordariomycetes; Hypocreales; Nectriaceae. The record is from RNAcentral.